ACUAGGUUCCAAAGGGGCAUGUUUGGAUAGAGGGAGACAACAUCUAUGAGUCAAAUGAUUCAAGAAAAUUUGGGCCUGUUCCUUAUGGACUUCUUCAAGGCAGAGUCUUUUGGAGGAUAUGGCCACCUAAAGAUUUUGGAUCGUUGGCGCAAAACAAAGGGAAGGAUUCUGUCUCAUGAAGUACGCUUAUUGAGCAUGCACACGGUUAGUGCCUCAUAUGUAAUGUAAUUGCAGAAUCUUGUUUUGAAGCUGCUGUUUAUAGGGAAUAUAGAAGCUUGUUUGUAGAAUGAUCUUUUUCUAUCAAGAAGAGUGGUUUAAUUGUGAUACUUUCAUGUGCAUGGCUAUUAAAACCUGUAUUCUUCAAGUAUUAUAAGUGGUUGAGUAAUGGGCAUCUUCUAAUA
Prunus mume (Japanese apricot) is the source of this 401-nucleotide non-coding RNA. The record is from RefSeq and is a predicted model, not a curated record. NCBI's taxonomy places the organism in Eukaryota, Viridiplantae, Streptophyta, Magnoliopsida, Rosales, Rosaceae.